AUGAGAAGGAGGACGCGACGAAGAUGGGCUAGGCCUCGCUGCUCGUGGAGGAGGGUGCGGCUCGCCGGUGACGACGGAGAAAACAGGGGCGCCGAACCACAGCAGCGGCAGCCGGAGACUGAGAGCACAUCGGCGGCGGACCAGCUCGAGGAGGAGAUUGGCUCGCAGGGCCUCGGGCGCGGCGUGCAGAGGAGGAGGCACGGCGCUAAAGAGGCUGGGGGCGCAGUGAACGCUGUAGCGGUGGACCGGGAGGCCAGGGAGGCCCCAGAUAGUCGAGGUCACCGGCGGGCUGGAUCGCCGGAGCGGCACGGCGUUGUUCCUGGUGGCGGGUCGAGGAGGCGAUGGCAGACGGCGAAGGCUUGGCACGGGAGGUGA
Molecule: ribosomal RNA, 375 nt
Filed under: Triticum aestivum (bread wheat)
Lineage: Eukaryota; Viridiplantae; Streptophyta; Magnoliopsida; Poales; Poaceae
Description: partial small subunit ribosomal RNA
Source: RNAcentral